GAUGAACGCUAGCGGCAGGCCUAACACAUGCAAGUCGAGGGGCAGCACAGAAACAGCAAUGUUUUGGUGGCGACCGGCGGACGGGUGCGUAGCGCGUAUGCAACCUACCUUUAACAGGGGGAUAACGGAGAGAAAUUUCCACUAAUACCCCAUAACAUCGAUCAAGGCAUCUUGACUGGUUGAAAACUCCGGUGGUUAAAGAUGGGCAUGCGUUGUAUUAGGUAGUUGGUGAGGUAAUGGCUCACCGAGCCUACGAUACAUAGGGGACUGAGAGGUUAGCCCCCCACACUGGAACUAAGACACGGACCAGACUCCUACGGGAGGCAGCAGUGAGGAAUAUUGGUCAAUGGGGGCAACCCUGAACCAGCCAUGCCGCGUGCAGGAAGACGGCUCUAUGAGUUGUAAACUGCUUUUAAACAGGGAUAAAGCACAGUAUGUAUACUGUGUUGAAGGUACUGUAAGAAUAAGGAUCGGCUAACUCCGUGCCAGCCGCCGCAGUAA
This 501-nucleotide ribosomal RNA is filed under the name uncultured bacterium. Its description in RNAcentral is "partial 16S ribosomal RNA". It matches the Rfam family "Bacterial small subunit ribosomal RNA", at positions 28 to 523 of the family's 1533-position model. The record is from RNAcentral.